RNAcentral lists this long non-coding RNA (382 nucleotides) under Elaeis guineensis (African oil palm). Its description in RNAcentral is "long non-coding RNA (EGUI_LNC037545)". Lineage: Eukaryota; Viridiplantae; Streptophyta; Magnoliopsida; Arecales; Arecaceae. The record is from RNAcentral.
GAAGAGUCGCGCGGUAUCCGUUGCAGGAAGUGGAGCAGGAUCGUGGCCAUUAUUAUGGCCUGUCAGGGAGUGAUGGGGCCACGUGGAAUCCAUCGCAGGAGGUGAAGCAGAGUCGUGGCUGUUGCUGCGGCCUGCCAGGGGGUCCAGGUCUAUCGGCCGGAGUUCGACUGAGGUGUCUGGUGGAGAGAGGUGGGUAGCCACACGUCUGAGAGGAGCUUGGAGUCCGGCUCUCGCCGGAGCCCGGAUGGAGCCUUCUUUCAGUUGAGGUCGGGGAUGAAGUUUGGCUCCCACAGGAGUCCGGACUGAGUCUUCCUACAGCUGAGGCUGGAGACGAAGUCUGGCUCCCGUAGGAGCUCGAGCGAAAUCUACCUGCAAUUAGAGU